Molecule: ribosomal RNA, 460 nt
Filed under: uncultured bacterium
Lineage: Bacteria
Description: partial 16S ribosomal RNA
Rfam family: Bacterial small subunit ribosomal RNA
Source: RNAcentral
CCUACGGGUGGCAGCAGUGAGGAAUAUUGGUCAAUGGACGAGAGUCUGAACCAGCCAAGCAGCGUGAAGGAUGACUGUCCUAUGGGUUGUAAACUUCUUUUAUAUGGGAAUAAAGUGUUCCACGUGUGGGAUUUUGUAUGUACCUUAUGAAUAAGGAUCGGCUAACUCCGUGCCAGCAGCCGCGGUAAUACGGAGGAUCCGAGCGUUAUCCGGAUUUAUUGGGUUUAAAGGGAGCGUAGGGGGAUUGUUAAGUCAGGUGUGAAAGUCUGCGGCUCAACCGUACAAUUGCAGUUGAAACUGGCAGUCUGGAGUACAGGAGAGGUGGGCGGAAUGCGUGGUGUAGCGGUGAAAUGCUUAGAUAUCACGAAGAACUCCGAUUGCGAAGGCAGCUCACUGGACUGCAACUGACACUGAGGCUCGAAAGUGUGGGUAUCAAACAGGAUUAGAUACCCGUGUAGUC